Molecule: ribosomal RNA, 429 nt
Filed under: uncultured bacterium
Lineage: Bacteria
Description: bacterial SSU rRNA
Rfam family: Bacterial small subunit ribosomal RNA
Source: RNAcentral
GACGAACGCUGGCGGCGUGCCUAAUACAUGCAAGUCGAGCGGAUCUUUAAAGCUUGCUUUUAAAGAUUAGCGGCGGACGGGUGAGUAACACGUGGGCAACCUGCCUAUAAGACUGGGAUAACUCCGGGAAACCGGGCUAAUACCGGAUAAUGGCUCUUAACACAUGUUAGGAUUCUGAAAGAUGGCUUCGGCUAUCACUUAUAGAUGGGCCCGCGGCGCAUUAGCUAGUUGGUGAGGUAACGGCUCACCAAGGCAACGAUGCGUAGCCGACCUGAGAGGGUGAUCGGCCACACUGGGACUGAGACACGGCCCAGACUCCUACGGGAGGCAGCAGUAGGGAAUCUUCCGCAAUGGACGAAAGUCUGACGGAGCAACGCCGCGUGAGUGAUGAAGGUUUUCGGAUCGUAAAACUCUGUUUGUUUAGGAAGA